AAUAUGUGCUAGGGGUGCCUUUUGGCUGAGAGAUGAUUAAAUUCAUUAACCCUUUUACCUGAUCUGGCUAAUACCAGCGUAGGGAAGCGUUUAAAAUAAGUA
RNAcentral lists this non-coding RNA (102 nucleotides) under Clostridium sp. RNAcentral describes it as "TPP sequence". It matches the Rfam family "TPP riboswitch aptamer (THI element)". From Rfam's summary of the family: Vitamin B(1) in its active form thiamin pyrophosphate (TPP) is an essential coenzyme that is synthesised by coupling of pyrimidine and thiazole moieties in bacteria. The previously detected thiamin-regulatory element, thi box was extended, resulting in a new, highly conserved RNA secondary structure, the THI element, which is widely distributed in eubacteria and also occurs in some archaea. Analysis of operon structures identified a large number of new candidate thiamin-regulated genes, mostly transporters, in various prokaryotic organisms. The record is from RNAcentral. RNAcentral also lists the same sequence under 1 other name. Lineage: Bacteria; Bacillati; Bacillota; Clostridia; Eubacteriales; Clostridiaceae.